AACGAACGCUGGCGGCAUGCCUAACACAUGCCAGUCGAACGAUGCCUUCGGGCAUAGUGGCGCACGGGUGCGUAACGCGUGGGAAUCUGCCUUUCGGUUCGGAAUAACUCAGGGAAACUUGAGCUAAUACCGGAUAACGUCGCAGGACCAAAGAUUUAUCACCGAAAGAUGAGCCCGCGUAGGAUUAGCUAGUUGGUGAGGUAAAGGCUCACCAAGGCGACGAUCCUUAGCUGGUCUGAGAGGAUGAUCAGCCACACUGGGACUGAGACACGGCCCAGACUCCUACGGGAGGCAGCAGUGGGGAAUAUUGGACAAUGGGCGAAAGCCUGAUCCAGCAAUGCCGCGUGAGUGAUGAAGGCCUUAGGGUUGUAAAGCUCUUUUACCCGGGAAGAUAAUGACGGUACCGGGAGAAUAAGCCCCGGCUAACUCCGUG
RNAcentral lists this ribosomal RNA (433 nucleotides) under uncultured bacterium. Its description in RNAcentral is "partial 16S ribosomal RNA". It matches the Rfam family "Bacterial small subunit ribosomal RNA", at positions 29 to 507 of the family's 1533-position model. The record is from RNAcentral.